GACAGAGGGUGCAAACGUUGUUCGGAAUUACUGGGCGUAAAGCGCGUGUAGGCGGCCAUACAAGUCGGAUGUGAAAUCCCGCGGCUUAACCGUGGAAGUGCACCCGAAACUGUAUCGCUAGAGUCCCGGAGAGGAUGGUGGAAUACUUGGUGUAGAGGUGAAAUUCGUAGAUAUCACGUGGAACACCGGUGGCGAAGGCGGCCAUCUGGACGGUGACUGACGCUGAGACGCGAAAGCGUGGGUAGCAAACAGG
This 253-nucleotide ribosomal RNA is filed under the name uncultured bacterium. Its description in RNAcentral is "partial 16S ribosomal RNA". It matches the Rfam family "Bacterial small subunit ribosomal RNA", at positions 524 to 776 of the family's 1533-position model. The record is from RNAcentral.